GGUUAAGGGUCUUGGGAUAUUUGGGGUUAAGUGUCCUUGAGUUUGAAUAGUACUGGGCUGGGUGACCUCCCGGGAAGUCUAAACUCAUGAGCU
Selaginella moellendorffii is the source of this 93-nucleotide non-coding RNA. The record is from Rfam. NCBI's taxonomy places the organism in Eukaryota, Viridiplantae, Streptophyta, Lycopodiopsida, Selaginellales, Selaginellaceae.